Molecule: ribosomal RNA, 494 nt
Filed under: uncultured bacterium
Lineage: Bacteria
Description: partial 16S ribosomal RNA
Rfam family: Bacterial small subunit ribosomal RNA
Source: RNAcentral
GACGAACGCUGGCGGCGUGCUUAACACAUGCAAGUCGAACGGAAAGGCCUGCUUUCCCUUGUGGAUUGCGGGUACUCGAGUGGCGAACGGGUGAGUAACACGUGAGUGAUCUGCCCCCAACUUGGGUAUAAGCCUGGGAAACUGGGUCUAAUUCCCGAUAGGACUGCAGGGUGGUGCCUGUGGUGGAAAACGAUUUUCUAGUGGUUGGGGAUGGGCUCGUGGCCUAUCAGAUUGUUGGUGGGGUAAUGGUCUACCAAGGCGGCGACGGGUAGCCGGCCUGAGAGGGUGGACGGCAGCAUUGGGACUGAGACACGGCCCAGACUCCUACGGGAGGCAGCAGUGGGGAAGAGUGGGCAAUGGGCGGAAGCCUGAUGCAGCGACGCCGCGUGGAGGAUGACGGCCUUCGGGUUGUAAACUCCUUUCGACCGCGAGGAAGCCACCUGGAUGGAAGGGUGGUGACGGUAGUGGUAGAAGAAGCACCGGCUAACUACGUG